Molecule: long non-coding RNA, 327 nt
Organism: Lycium barbarum (goji berry)
Lineage: Eukaryota; Viridiplantae; Streptophyta; Magnoliopsida; Solanales; Solanaceae
Exons: 3
Source: RefSeq, a predicted model, not a curated record
GCUGCGAAUGACUUACCUGAAGGUGUAAGUGCUCCACAGCUUGAAUCUUAUGACUCAUCAGGGCGACUCAUCAUCGAGCCUGCGGGAUACGGUUGGUUACCGGACAAAGCUUCAACUCUCCUUACAGAUGAGAUACAAAAACUAUUUAAAGACUCACCUACUUGGGGCUAGAUGUCACCAAAUCGCCAGAGACAGAUCUAUUAUGCCUUUAAGGAAAAAUGUGUCUGGCGCCCGGAACAUGAGGAGAAGCUAACUUAAAACUUCAAGAAGAAAUCUCAGCGCUUACUAUGUGACAUGUUAGGAAGGGUUCGUCAAUCUCAUAAGAAG